GGGGAUUUAGCUCAGUGGUAGAGCACUUGCCCAGCAAGCUCAAGGCCCCGGGUUCAGUCCCCA
Molecule: transfer RNA, 63 nt
Filed under: Rattus norvegicus (Norway rat)
Lineage: Eukaryota; Metazoa; Chordata; Mammalia; Rodentia; Muridae
Rfam family: tRNA
About the family: Transfer RNA (tRNA) molecules are approximately 80 nucleotides in length. Their secondary structure includes four short double-helical elements and three loops (D, anti-codon, and T loops).
Source: Rfam by way of RNAcentral